This 253-nucleotide ribosomal RNA is filed under the name uncultured bacterium. RNAcentral describes it as "partial 16S ribosomal RNA". It matches the Rfam family "Bacterial small subunit ribosomal RNA", at positions 524 to 776 of the family's 1533-position model. The record is from RNAcentral.
UACGUAGGGGGCAAGCGUUGUCCGGAUUUAUUGGGCGUAAAGCGCUCGCAGGUGGUCCGUCGCGUCGUGCGUGAAAGACCCCGGCUCAACCGGGGGGUGUCGUGCGAUACGGGCGGACUGGAGGCCAGUAGGGGGAUGCGGAAUUCCGGGUGUAGUGGUGGAAUGCGUAGAGAUCCGGAGGAACACCAGCGGCGAAGGCGGCGUCCUGGCUCGCAUCUGACGCUCAGACACGACAGCAUGGGGAGCGAACGGG